Molecule: ribosomal RNA, 498 nt
Filed under: uncultured bacterium
Lineage: Bacteria
Description: bacterial SSU rRNA
Rfam family: Bacterial small subunit ribosomal RNA
Source: RNAcentral
CGCUCGCAGAGUAAACCAGUUUACUGGUGUGCGAAGCGAAGGCAAUCACAACAGACCCAAUCAACCCCGGCUAGGGAAGAGACGGCGAGGGAAAAUCGAAUGAAGUGCUGGAGUACACGAGCGGCGGACGGCUGAGUAACGCGUAGGAACGUACCCCAAACUGAGGGAUAAGCACCAGAAAUGGUGUCUAAUACCGCAUGUGCUCUAAGGAGUAAAGCUUCGGCGGUUUGGGAACGGCCUGCGUACGAUUAGAUUGUUGGUGAGGUAAUGGCUCACCAAGUCGACGAUCGUUAGCUGGUCUGAGAGGAUGAUCAGCCAGACUGGGACUGAGAACGGCCCAGACUCCUACGGGAGGCAGCAGGUAGGGGUAUUUUCCACAAUGGACGAAAGUCUGAUGGAGCAACGCCGCGUGCAGGAUGAAUGCCUUCGGGUUGUAAACUGCUUUUAUCUGUGACGAGUAUGACGGUAGCAGAUGAAUAAGGAUCGGCUAACUCCGUG